UCAAACUAAAACCCUAAAUCAAAACACGCGUAGAUGUUUCUGUUCCUUUUCCUACAAUCUUCUUUCCCCACCCCUUCAUCCGCUCUUUUUGCUGAACAUCAAUUAAUCAAAGAUUGAUACAAAUUCUGGACUUUCCAUAAUUUUCAAAUCAGUUUCCUUUUAAUCUUAAUUCCAAUUACAAACCCUAUGCCAAACGAUUUCACCAUCAGUCUUUCUGUCAAUUGUUUUCUUCAAACCUAGAAUUGAUUGUUAUUUGUUGAGGCUUGAUCUAGGGCUCGAAUAGAUGAUCCAGUUCGACUAACAGAAGCUUAAGGAAGCCGGUAGUGUGUCCAUCAGAGUUUAGAAGCCCUAGAUGUGCUGCUGCUGAUUCUACAUAUGGAGAAGUAUUCAGGGAAGCAUGAAGACAUGGCUCUCGAGGAUAUGUAUGCCAAAGAUGACGAUUUUGAUGACAGUGAUUGGGAUUUCUUAGAUUGAAUCAUAUAACAGUUGCCACAUGGUUUUGUGUUAACUCAGUCGACACGGCCCGUUUCAACAUAAAAACAUGCAAAUUCAGUUUGGUUUAGAUGGUCACGUUAACAGAGUCUUGCGAAUUGGUUUGGUUUUGAGUGGUUUAAUGAUUUGUCGAGAUGGUCAGUGUUUUACUGUUCUACAGGACAGUAUUCGUUGGCUCAGAUCUCUACCUCAACACGAACAAUGCCAUACGGACUAAAGUCUCGUAGGUUAAAAGCCGUUAGUAAGCUGGUGAUCAAAAGUGUGUACAAAUGGGAGCCUGUAUUGAAGAUAUAUAGUGAUGCUCAGACAUUCGGACUAAAGUCUUGUGCACACUUUUGAAGAUAUAUAGUGUGUCCAUAUGGCAGAUGGCUGCCCAACCUUCAAGUAGGAAGCAACUCAAUCCCAAACCAGAUUUGGCUUCAAUAGAAAAUGGCCACACUACUGAUAAAACUAUAGCUAAUGGUGAUGUCACCAGUGAAAGCGAGAUUGAAGCUGAUUCACUCGAGUUACAUGAAGAACCAAUCAUCGAAAAUGCAAGUAUAGCACUUGCUUGUGAUGAUGGUUGCGUGAGAAUAUAUAACACUUCAAGUUCAGAUGGAUUCACCUACCAUAAAUCAUUGCCUAGGGUCGGUGGUCGUGUAUUAAGCGUCACUUGGAGUACAGAUGCAAAAAGGAUAUACUCAGGCAGUAGUGACGGGUUCAUAAGAUGCUGGUAUGUUAAACUGUCUCAUGAAGUUCACAGAAUAACUAUUGGUCUUGGAGGUUUAGGUGUGGGACCCUUGUGAGUGCAGAUAGUAGCGGUAGCGUUCAGUUUUGGGACAGUUCACACGGAACUCUAUUGCAAGCACAUUCUUGCCAUAAAGGCGAUGUCAACGCUUUAGCAGCCAGCCCUAGCCAUACAAGGGUGUUUUCUGCUGGAUCAGAUGGUCAGGUACUUAAUUUCUUUUGUUUUCAAAUAUGUGGAGUGUUUAUUUAUUAUUUUUUGGAGUAAAAUGUCAUUUUUGUCCCUGAGGUUUGGACAGUUUUGCGACUUUCAUCCAAAAGUUUGUUUUUUCUGCAUCUGUAUUGAAGAUAUAUAGUGUGAAGUCGUUAGUAAUGCCACCCUGGCAGUUUCUAGGUUAGAAGCCACGUUUCCCGACUUGGCUAGACAAGCAGCGGAAGGUGGGACCCAACCUGCUCUAAAAUCCCAUCCUUAUGCUCCAUUUGAUGCAUCAGUUUCAUUAGUUUCAUUACAGAAAAAUUAACGCCCGUUAGCCUUAACACUCAAAGGUGUAAAAUUUGAAACCGUAGAACCUGAAUUGACCAUGCCCCACCAUCAAGAGGAGUUGAUGCCGAGAUCAAGAAAUGGCAAAGAUCGUUGACCAGAUCCAAGAAAGUACAUGCCAAACCGAAAAAGUCGAUCAAGCGUACGGAGAUCACAAACGUACAAAAAAUCUCGACUCAACUUUUGAAACUGGGAAAGUGGCUGCAACCGAUCAACAUUUCGACAACCUUCAAAACGAGAGAGAUGCUCAAAAACAGGAACUUGCUUCCUCAUCUACAGAUAGCCUCUAUAAGAGAAUAGCUGAAGUGAAAGAAAAAGAUAGACAAAAGGCACUAGAAGAAUAAUACACUGCUGGAUAGUUCACAAGUUUAUAGAAAAAGAAAUAACACUGAUCCCGAAAGUAGAACCCACCUCAGAUCCUACAGGACGGAUCGAUUUUUGGCCAAACCAAUUUUUGUAAUUAGGGUUAACGAAGCUUUUAGCGGAUAAUGCACCGAAGGCUAUGAAAGAGCAAAAAUUUGAAAGUUAUUUUGGUCGUAGAAUUGCUAUUGAUGCUGGCAUGAGCAUCUACCAGUUUCUGAUUGUUGUGGGACGAAGUGGGACUGAAAUGUUGACCAAUGAGGCUGGUGAAGUGACAAGGACCCUCAAAGAUCAAGAUGCCAAUUUGAAUUCAUUGAUAGGAUGGUUAACUUCACUUGAACCAUCAGGCACACCACAACGGAAAACAACGGUACAUCAGAAGGUAUAAAUUUCGCUACGGAACAAGAGUUUGGCGAUUUUGCUUUAUGUGGAGGUUCACGUCACCAUAUAACAGUUUGGACUUAGACGUGAAGCCUAAGUUUGGAAAGGCGUAGAACAAAAAUGAUGAUCUACCUGGGGAUUCAAUGCCAGUAGAUAUUAUAUAUUUGUGUUAAGCCACCCGCGAAAAUCGCGGGAUCUUAGGCUAGUAAUAAUAAUAGAACAAUAAUAGAAUAGUAAAUGAAACUUUAGUUAAUCUAGAGAGACAUAAAAAGUUUUAGUGACUUAAUUAGAACAUUUGUCAAACUUGGUUAGAUUUUUAUAAAGAAAAAACAUCAUAUCACGACUUUGUUA
RNA transcript from Helianthus annuus (common sunflower), 2848 nucleotides. It is a transcript of the gene named flap endonuclease 1, with no coding region annotated. The record is from RefSeq and is a predicted model, not a curated record. The transcript is spliced from 11 exons. NCBI's taxonomy places the organism in Eukaryota, Viridiplantae, Streptophyta, Magnoliopsida, Asterales, Asteraceae.